Long non-coding RNA from Pelmatolapia mariae (spotted tilapia), 234 nucleotides. RefSeq lists it as uncharacterized. Lineage: Eukaryota; Metazoa; Chordata; Actinopteri; Cichliformes; Cichlidae. The transcript has 3 exons. The record is from RefSeq and is a predicted model, not a curated record.
GUUCUCCACGUGCCCCGGGUUCUCCAGGUGACCCAGGUGGGCCUUUAGGACCAGGAGGACCAAAAAGCUGACUGUAGCCCACAGGAGCCAUGAGGCAGAAGGUUGUCAGCUGAAUAGAAAAAAUAUCAACCUUGGUCAAAUAUAUUUAACCAUUAAAGCUGGUAACUGAAAUAGCAGGACUGAUCACACCAACCAGUCCCAGCUGGUCUGCCAGCCUUCUGGCACUGCCCACCA